Molecule: long non-coding RNA, 916 nt
Organism: Cavia porcellus (domestic guinea pig)
Lineage: Eukaryota; Metazoa; Chordata; Mammalia; Rodentia; Caviidae
Exons: 4
Source: RefSeq, a predicted model, not a curated record
UGGCUCUCUGCCAUUGACAGGUUCCACCCACUUGGCCAGCAGGUUUACCAUAUCCUGCUGCCCCCGGGCCCCCACAGUUCUAUCAUAUGGUUCCCUGAUUGGGAAUGGCAGAUGAGAGACUCCUGGGGCUGGUUCCCAGUUUGAGUCCCCUGCCAUUCAGGACCAGGACUAGACUGCAUCCUGCAUUAAUUCCUCACUUCUACACUCAGGAGCUGUAAGCUUGUCGCUGCUGGUUUGCAAACAACACUGACCAAUUUACCACAGGUGCACCGCACUCAGCCCCAGAAGUUCAACAUGAAGUUUCAAGUAUUGCUCCACUGCAGUGUACAGUUCCAGAGGCUUCAGCUCCAUUUUCUAAGGCAUCCAUGAAAAGUCACGGACUGUCAGUGCGUUCAGCUCUUUAAUGCAUGGAGUAACGUGGUAUUCUGAAACCUCCCAAACGGGAAGCCAGGCCGAAGCAGAGUAACAAAGAGCCUUUCACACCGAGGAGCAAGGAGCGGACCCCGCUGUGUGUAAAGCCUCCCCUGUGCCCCCAGCCCCCAGCUGCAGAUCUGCAGGAGGAGGGUUUUUGUGCUCAGAACCCUGGGAGUACUUUGCAGUCACUUCGGGAGGCUCGUGCCUCUGCUCACUGGCCGGAUCUUCUAUUGAAGAGCUAUUGGGGAAGCCUCGCAGGGUUUCAUGAGUUUGCUCUUUGGGACCUGAGUCUUUUCCUUGAAGACUCAGCCAGCAUUGGCCCUUGGGAGACACACGUCGUCGGUGUGGCCGCACUGUUUAUCAAACACUGCAGUCCUCCUCCUGGAUGGGAUAAUAGUUCAUGCAAUAAGCACUAAAAUUAAUUAAUUGUUUGCCGCACAUAUGGGUUUUCUCAUCAACCUUGUGCUACUUUAUUGCAACACACUUUGUUUUGCUUCUCUGG